This 348-nucleotide unclassified non-coding RNA is filed under the name soil metagenome. RNAcentral's name for it is "partial contains 5.8S ribosomal RNA, internal transcribed spacer 2, and large subunit ribosomal RNA". The stretch from base 3 to 120 matches the Rfam family "5.8S ribosomal RNA", at positions 37 to 154 of the family's 154-position model. The record is from RNAcentral.
GCUGAAGAACGUAGCAAAAUGCGAUAAGUAAUGUGAAUUGCAGAAUUCAGUGAAUCAUCGAAUCUUUGAACGCACAUUGCGCCCGCUGGUAUUCCGGCGGGCAUGCCUGUUCGAGCGUCAUUUCAACCCUCAAGCCCCCGGGUUUGGUGUUGGGGAUCGGCUCUGCCCUUCUGGGCGGUGCCGCCCCCGAAAUACAUUGGCGGUCUCGCUGCAGCCUCCAUUGCGUAGUAGCUAACACCUCGCAACUGGAACGCGGCGCGGCCAUGCCGUAAAACCCCAACUUCUGAAUGUUGACCUCGGAUCAGGUAGGAAUACCCGCUGAACUUAAGCAUAUCAAUAAGCGGAGGA